RNAcentral lists this long non-coding RNA (733 nucleotides) under Drosophila guanche. Lineage: Eukaryota; Metazoa; Arthropoda; Insecta; Diptera; Drosophilidae. The record is from RNAcentral.
AUUAAUUCAAACAACAAAUCAACAAUCAUUGACAAGUAAUUAAUUUUACAUUUUAUAUGAUAAACGAUAUGCGGAUAUGCGGAUACGAUAUAGACAUUUAUUAACUCUGAUAUCUGGUAGAUCGAAAAUCGAGAAUACAAACGGAAACGCACACGAGCUGCGUUUUGAAAAUGCGAAGCCGUCGACUGAUAUUUAUAACAAAAAGUAUAACAUUAAAUAACGAAUUACGAAAGCAAAGAAACUCAUUUGUAAAUACACUGACACUGGACACUGAGCACUGAAAAUGCAGGAGGAAUCGCGCGAGUCCUCGGAGCGCAUUAUGUUAAUGUAAUCACACACUAACCACCCACCAACCCCCCCCCCCCCCCCCCCCCCCCCCCCCCCCCCCCCCCUUCCACAUGAUCCACCACAUCCCGCAUCCACAUCCUUCCAGCAAUCCAAAAAUCGAAUCGGAAUUACGAUCCGAUCGGAUCCACCACGCAGCAAAUUUGCACUCAACACUAGCGAAAUUUUUUAAUGCGCAUUAAGCAAAUCGUCACAGAUACAUAAAUCUAUAUAUAUAUAUAUCUAAAUACAUAUAUAUUAAAUGAAUACCAAUUAUUGUUGUUGUCUCAUAUAAAAGAAAAACCAAAACCAAAACCAAAACCAAACCAGAAACUGAAAGGGAAACCAAAACGAAAGCAAAUUUAAAUAUAUUUCCAAAAUAUAUAUAGAAUAUAAACUUUGAAAGCCA